RNAcentral lists this transfer RNA (73 nucleotides) under Myxococcales bacterium. RNAcentral describes it as "tRNA-Ala". It matches the Rfam family "tRNA". From Rfam's summary of the family: Transfer RNA (tRNA) molecules are approximately 80 nucleotides in length. Their secondary structure includes four short double-helical elements and three loops (D, anti-codon, and T loops). The record is from RNAcentral. RNAcentral also lists the same sequence under 2 other names. Lineage: Bacteria; Pseudomonadati; Myxococcota; Myxococcia; Myxococcales.
GGGGGAUUAGCUCAGCUGGGAGAGCGUCGGCUUUGCAAGCCGAAAGUCACCGGUUCGAUCCCGGUAUCCUCCA